AGAGAACUGUCUUACCAUGCCUGGUUUC
RNAcentral lists this non-coding RNA (28 nucleotides) under Homo sapiens (human). Lineage: Eukaryota; Metazoa; Chordata; Mammalia; Primates; Hominidae. The record is from RNAcentral.